CGUCUGACACAGGUGCUGCAUGGCUGUCGUCAGCUCCGUGUCGUGAGAUGUUGGGUUAAGUCCCGUAACGAGCGCAACCCUUGUCCUUAGUUACCAGCACGUUAUGGUGGGCACUCUAAGGAGACUGCCGGUGACAAACCGGAGGAAGGUGGGGAUGACGUCAAGUCAUCAUGGCCCUUACGGCCUGGGCUACACACGUGCUACAAUGGUCGGUACAAAGGGUUGCCAAGCCGCGAGGUGGAGCUAAUCCCAUAAAACCGAUCGUAGUCCGGAUCGCAGUCUGCAACUCGACUGCGUGAAGUCGGAAUCGCUAGUAAUCGUGAAUCAGAAUGUCACGGUGAAUACGUUCCCGGGCCUU
RNAcentral lists this ribosomal RNA (358 nucleotides) under uncultured Pseudomonas sp. RNAcentral describes it as "bacterial SSU rRNA". It matches the Rfam family "Bacterial small subunit ribosomal RNA", at positions 1026 to 1382 of the family's 1533-position model. Lineage: Bacteria; Pseudomonadati; Pseudomonadota; Gammaproteobacteria; Pseudomonadales; Pseudomonadaceae. The record is from RNAcentral.